This 589-nucleotide long non-coding RNA is filed under the name Cotesia glomerata. RNAcentral describes it as "uncharacterized LOC123268865, transcript variant X1". The record is from RNAcentral. Lineage: Eukaryota; Metazoa; Arthropoda; Insecta; Hymenoptera; Braconidae.
UGGUAUCGCAGUUUCUAGUCUGAUGUUUGUCCGUGUACAACGCGCAGGGAUGACACUCCCCGAUCUAGUCAGGAGUGAGCACGAGGUCGCGCGCAUUUUCUUCCGACAAGUUGCCCACGUCUACCUAUAUAGUACAUACUAUUCAUAUAUAUGUCUCUAUAUAGGCAUAGGUACAUGUAUAUAAGGGUGCAAACAUCAAGUUUAUACAAAACUUGUACUACGCGUUUCUCAGUACUUUGUACACUGAUAAUACGAGAGUUUAUACAGAAGAGGUCAAUUCGCUAUCCAACGAGGAACGAGAGUCUGCUGCUUAUUCCUCCCCGGAAAAUUAGGAAUUGCCAAUAUUAAUCCAGAGUUUCCAGUCGGUGUCGUACUAAACACCGACCUGACUACUUACGAGGGUUUCUAUCACUUAAGAGGGUAAAAAAGAGCCCGAGGUUCUCUUGAGAUUGUUGACGUCUACUAAAGAUAAGUUCAUUAGACGGCCAAUAAAUAAUUCGUGAUAACGACGACUAAUUAUUUUUAUACACUGAUAGAAGGAUUUGUUUAUAGUUAAAAAUAUUUGUUAAUAUUUAACAAAUCAUUUAUU